UGUGGGUUCUAAGGAACCUCUCUGGAUUCUUUUCAGUCAUUCACCGAUGCUCACUUGACUUGACAGAGAGGAUCUCCAUGAAUUUCCAAAGCCCCUGGAUCCUCCAAGAUGUCCAGCCUGUGGAUAAGUCUGAGUCUGCUCUAUGUUCUACAAAGCUGUGUCUCAUCAGAUGAAGUAGUGUCACUGAAUUGCAACAAGACAGUGGAAGUUAAAGCUGGAGAAACUGUGACACUGAAUUGCACCAUCGAGUGGAAACUGAAAAACGGGGACUGUAAAGGCGAAACGUAUGACUGGACGAACACAAAUGACACCAGCAUAUGUAGCAGUAACUUGACUGAGUACAGCUGUUCUUGGGAUGAAGUGACUUACGUGUCACUGACCAUCUCACAAGCCAAGAAAGAGGAAAAUGUGACAGUUGAAAUAUAUGCAAACUGUGGCAUGGAUUGGUCAACUAUCGAAGUUAAGAUCUUUGGGGAAAUCCCAGAUCA
Molecule: long non-coding RNA, 488 nt
Organism: Stegastes partitus (bicolor damselfish)
Lineage: Eukaryota; Metazoa; Chordata; Actinopteri; Pomacentridae
Exons: 4
Source: RefSeq, a predicted model, not a curated record